ACGUAGGGUGCAAGCGUUGUCCGGAAUUAUUGGGCGUAAAGAGCUCGUAGGCGGUUUGUCGCGUCUGCUGUGAAAACUGGAGGCUCAACCUCCAGCCUGCAGUGGGUACGGGCAGACUAGAGUGCGGUAGGGGAGAUUGGAAUUCCUGGUGUAGCGGUGGAAUGCGCAGAUAUCAGGAGGAACACCGAUGGCGAAGGCAGAUCUCUGGGCCGUAACUGACGCUGAGGAGCGAAAGCAUGGGGAGCGAACAGG
Molecule: ribosomal RNA, 252 nt
Filed under: uncultured bacterium
Lineage: Bacteria
Description: partial 16S ribosomal RNA
Rfam family: Bacterial small subunit ribosomal RNA
Source: RNAcentral